CUACACCACAGCCAUAGCAAUGCCAGAUCUGAGCCACAUCUGCAACCUACACCACAAAUCAUAGCAAUGCUGCAUCCUUGACCACUGAGUGAGGCCAGGGAUCAAACCCACAUCCUCAUGGAUACUGGUUGUGUUCGUAAUUGGCUGAGCCACAACAGGAACUCCAGCACAAACUCUUUAGCACAAGGAUUCUACUGUGAUUUUAUCUGUGAAUCAAAUGUAAAAGCAUAACAAGAUACACAAAUAUUGGUUGGAACUUGGUCUGUAAUGACAAAAAAUAAAAACCCCUGAAUGUUUACAGUAGAGCAUGGUUGAAAUAAGUUAAAUUCACAGAGUGGAACACUAUGCAGUACUGAAAACAAGGAGAAGAUGUGCAUCUCCAACAUAUGCAUGCUUAAGUGUAAAAAUGCAACGUAUAGAACGAGAGCUAGGGUCUGAGCCCAUGUGGGCUAUGUGUAUGUAUUAUGUAUAUCUGUACACAUGCAUACAGGAUUUGAGUUUUUUAGCUUUCUUUCUUUUGUUUUGUUUUGUUUGUUGAUUCCUAUACAGAUAUAAAAGAAAAUAUAAACAGUGGUCAUACCUUUCUGAAAAGAUUAGGGGUUUAGCAUAUGUAUAUGUGGGUACAGUAGAGAAUUUACUUCUUAUGUUAAUACUGAUCUUUCUUAACCAGGUUUCUGUAUAUUGAAAAAUAUAAAUGAAUAUUUCAAAAAUUCUACAAGGCAAUACAUAGAAAAUAAUAGUCUAGAAUGAUGUUCAUUGACACAUAUUAAUAUCAGCUUCUAAUAAUUAUGACAUAGCCAAGAAAUUACAAUCUCAGAAGCAGAUGUUUAGAAAGCACUCAAUUGUUCACUAGUUUGAUGUUUUAUGUGCUUAAUCUGCCAAUGCUAUUUUGCUUGGCUGGCUGGAAAUGUGACAUUAAAAGCAGAAGGGUAAUAUAGAAAGGAAAGGAUGUCACUUAUAAUUCCAGCAAAAUUCAAACAUGAUUUUAGAGACUGAACCUCUUUCCACAGUGAAGGCAGCCACAGGUGUGAUCCUGCUAAGUGUGUUAAACCAUCAAACUUAACUAAUGAAAAGGGACACUGUAACCAGCAAUGAGCUUCAAACGGACGUGCAAUGUGGAACUCAUCCUGCGUGCACACAUUUCCAACCACCUUCUGUGAACAGCCUUUAAAACAAUUAAAUGUUCUAAACACUUCAGACCUUAGGUGAGUAAGAGAGCCUUUUGAAAUAUCACUUUCUUACUAUUGAUCAAACAAGCUCAUUUGCAUGGACAUGUUAUUAAAUACCAGGAACAUCAUUCAAGAGAUGUUUUCAAAAACCCAACCAUGCAGGGCACCAAGCUCAAACAGCACCUGUGCAGUAAGUGCUGAGCACCCCUGGGGUUCACAAAAGAGACAAGCCCAGUGUGGGAUGGAAAUAAUGGUAAAAGCACCGGCAUUAAGUUGGAAACCCAGUUGGGCUAGAGGAGAAAACUGGGAUUUGUGCCAAUACAGACAAGACAAAAGGUAAAAUAUUCAUGUUGUAGGGCAAGAUAACAAGUACUAAGAUGGGGGAACAGAAAUUUUAGCAGCUUAAAGGGAAAUGAUACUGAGAAAAGGUAGAAAAUAUAUUUGGAUAGGAGAAGUGGCCUCAAAUGACACUAAACUAUUUUUAAAUGUGCAGCAGAUAACAUUGAUUAACUACAAUAUAUUAGUAGAUAAGAUGUGUCUAGCUUUUUCCCUGGGACAAUGGUCCUCAAACAUGAAUGUGUGUCAGAAUACCCUGGAGGGUUCGGUAAAAUGCAGAGUCCCCACUCCACAACCCCAACCCCCAGAGCAUCUGACUCAGCAGGUCUGGAGUGGGACCAAAGAAUCUGCAUUUCUAACAAACUCCCAGGGGAUCCUGACACUGCUGGUCCAGAGAUCACAAUGAAAGAGCCCCUCUGCAAGAAUAACUCUGAACCUGUCAAAUACCCUAUCCUCAUCAAAGGAACAUCCUAUCCCCUCAGAGGACACGACACAGCAAACCCGAAAAUGCUGGGAAGAAUGACAUCCUCACAUACUCCAGACAGGUCCAGGCCUUCCCAAGUCUGGUCCAUGCAGCUGCUUAGACAGCAAUCCUCUGGGAUACAGUUAGCACCCUCAACACUGGUCUAGGAGAUGAACCAGUCUGGACCUAAGGGGGAACAGGCCCUCAGCCCCACUUUAACCACCCAAUUCCCAGCAGGGCUGAUGCUGAGGAAGCAGUUGGGCAACCUGACAUAGAUCUAUACUGAACACCUCAAAACCUACCUCAGACUAUAUCAUCACUGGUCAUUGUCCACUUAAUGCCUAGAGGCCAUCAAACCACAGCAUCCUGGCAACAAACUAAUGUGACACUGCGGCACUUCACCAACUGUGUAAUGUGUGAAUGCAUAACCAAAUUCACAUGAAGAUCCCAAAAUCCACACCCAAAUAAAUGACGGGAGCCCAUGAGAACACUCUAAUGGCCUCCCAUCCCCAUAACCAUCACCAUGGAGGUCUCCAAGUCAUUCUGCCCACCUUGACAUGUGUAGGAAUACAAGGAAAAGUCAUAAGGAAAAAGGCCAGGUACCUAGAGGCAUGAUGCAUUGUAUACCCUCCAGCUGUCAAGAUGUUACUGUGCAGUAUUUCUUAGAUGUAAGUAACGUUUAAUGAGUAAAAUCUGAGAAAAGCAGGUUAUUCUCCAUCAUGAGGUCCAUCCAAUGAACUUCCCCCAAAGGACAGGGAGUCUGCCUCCAGAUGACCUUUGGUCUCAAGACUCAAGUCCUUUCUGGCUCUCCAGCCUGCCAACCCAUCCUGUAGAUUUCAGGCUGGUCAGCCCCCAUGACUGCAUGAGUCAAUUCCUUAAAGUAAUUCUCUCUCUACCUAAAUACAUAUACACAUGUAAUUCAUCAUCAUCAAGUAGGGACAGAGAUUGGGACAGAGCUGUCAACUACUCCUAUUGGUUCUGUUCCUCUUGAGAACCCUGACAGUUCACAACCUCUGUCCCUAACUUGAAAAUUAUCCAUUAUCUCCACCUUUGUAAAAGAAAAGGCCUCCUUUCACCUUUAAAAUGAAGAUUACUUUUUUAAAUGUACUGGAUUGGGCGAGAGGGAGUGGGAUGGACCAGGAGGGAGUUUGGGGGUCAGUAGAUACAAAUGAUUACAUUUAGGAUGGAUAAGCAAUGAGGUACUAUUGAACAGCACAGGGAAUUAUAGCCAAUCUCUUGGGAUAGAACAUGAUGGAAGAUAAUUUGAGAAAAAUAAUGUGUGUGUGUGUCUAUUGCAUAGACUGAGUCACUUUGCUGUACAGCAGAAAUUGACACAACACUGUAAAUCAAUUUUAAUAAAAAAUUUUUAAAGUACUGGACUUAAUAACACAUAUAUUUUAUUCCAGUCUACCUAAAAUUCAAUCAGAAGCCACUAGUUUCAAGUGACUAAAAAAAGAACCUCUGCUGCCCUUGCAGGAGCGAUGCCCCCACACUGUGAACCCCCGCGAGCACAAACUACAAGGGCUGAGGAUCUGCAUCUUACCAGGCAGCCUUCCAGAUUCAGUGCUCUUUGGAAUCCAUACUCAGCUUCCUCUUCCUUUUGGGCUGUUUCACUGCCACAUCAGCAUUCUUCAGCAGUGUUUUUCUGCAACACAGUGCCACAUAAGAAGUUGAGGAAAUUAUAAAACCAAACAAAAAUAACCAUGAUUUCAGUUAUACUUCCUAUAAUUGUUUGCCAUAAAUACUUUGCUAAAUGAGCUGACAAAAAAUUUUCACUGUUGAUUUGAGAGCUCCUAGUAUAAUAAUAAAUUAACAGGGAAGAAAGGGAGAUGAGCUUUCCACCUCAUCUAGAAUUUCUAUCACAAAAAAAAAAAAAAAACAGGUAUUACGAAAUGUUUGAGUUUUAUCUUAGCCGACCUAAGGGAUUAGGAUUCCCUGCAACUUCUGCAUCCAGCUCUGUACUAGCAUGGUCUGACUCCACAGGUGUCAUGACACAUGCACAGCACAGCAACCGGUCACACAGCACUAGGUAAGAGGUCCCAGUCACACACAGCACAGGACAGCAACCUGCUACAGAGCAAAGAAGAAAACUUUUCACAACUCAACUUACUAUGACCAUUCUUUGGUACAUUAAAAAGUAGUAGUAGACAUUUGUAAUAAAUUAUUUGGAAUUAGUUUUUUAUUUAUUUAUUUUUUAUUUUCCCACUGUACAGCAAGGGGGUCAGGUUAUCCUUACAUGUAUACAUUACAAUUACAUUUUUUCCCCCACCCUUUCUUCUGUUGCAAUAUGAGUAUCUAGACAACAGUCACACCUGUAGCAUAUGGAAGUCCCCAGGCCAAAGACAGAAUCCGAGCCACAGCUAUGACCUACACCUCAGAAAUGCCAGAUUCUUUAACCCACUGCACCCAGCUGGGGAUUGAACCUACACCUCUGCAGAGACUCCAGCUGAAGCAGUUGGAUUCCUGUCUCACUGUACCACAGUGGGAACUCCUGGAAUUAGUUUUUUGAUAGAGCAGGUUAACCAUUCUGGAGAACUAACCAGUAGUAUUAUACGAAUCCCACUAGAGAUAUAAUUCAAAAGGUAAUUCACUUUGAAUAAUUUUAACUACAGUUUACAAGUAAUUUUUUAAAAGUUUAAUGGAUCCAAAUCACCUACACUCCCCAGAGUUUUAGAAUCAUAUAUCCAGCUUAUGCAACAUUUCCACCCCAAAUACUCCAAAUGUAACAUAUUCAUCACUGAGCUCAUCAUUGCCCCUCUCAUCACCUCCCAGUUGCACACUCUUCCCAACUGCACUAAUGAUAUGAGUUGCCAACCACUUGUCCACAUCUGCCCCUUGCAGUUGCUCAGACUGUGCACUGCACAAGAACAUCAAGCCAAACUGAAGCCAUUUGGCUACAGGGGAUUUUCUCCCCACUGUCAAAGUGAUCUGUCUUUGCUAAUACCCAGUAACGAUCUCAGUAACUCCAGUUUGUUUAAAAAAAAAUCAAGCCUAAGGGCUCUGCGCACACCAUUCCUCCUGCCACAGGGGUUUCCAUCUGCAGAGAAGAAAAUAUAUCUUUUCCUAAUUCAAAGAAAAGACACCUCUGGGCUGACAGCAGCCUGCCGUGACUUGGCCUAGGCCAGAGACUGAGGAGUUAGCACCCUUCGUCCUUUCCUUCCCACCCCACACUCUCACCAGGUUUUGCUGGUUUUUAGUCUAUUCAGCAUGUCUUAGAUUCAUUCUUCUACUCCUACUAACCCUGACCCGUGCCUCCAACCUCAUGCGCCAUCCACACCCAGGUCUUGGCUCUCUGGAGAAAGACGUGCCCCACACUUUUGCUGGUCCUCAGCCUCAGAACUGCCCUUCCUUCGUCACCCUCUCUAAUUCAUACUCAUACUGCAUGACUUAACUGGAAGACUUAGCAUCACUGAGGAAAGCCUUCCUUGCUCACCUCUUGCUCCCUAAGGAGCACCUGUGUCUUGCCUAAAGUGUGCUUGCCUCCACUAUGGCACUCAACAGUUUAGACACUUUAUGCUUUCCCUUUGCAGACAUUCCCCCUUACGAGGCUGAAAGCAUCCUGAUAACCAGCCCUGGGGAGGACUGAUCCCUGUUCUCCACUGUCUCCUCGGUGCCCCGAUCCCCAAAGACUCUGCACAUGUGUCCGCUGCCCUAAACCGUAAGCACAUCUCUGAAUUACAGAGAAGACUCAAGUUCAGGGGUAUGGUUCUCGAUCCACACAAUCCUUUCAGAAUGCUGUUUGUCUGGGGCAAGCAUGUCCUCAAAUUCAGUACCUCCUUGCCCUUCCUCCUUCCCAUACAAAGAAAAAACCCAAACGAACAAUCCAAAAACACUUCCUCAUAC
RNAcentral lists this long non-coding RNA (5811 nucleotides) under Sus scrofa (pig). RNAcentral's name for it is "lncRNA (ENSSSCG00035063972.1)". Lineage: Eukaryota; Metazoa; Chordata; Mammalia; Artiodactyla; Suidae. The record is from RNAcentral.